ACGAACGCUGGCGGCGCGUCUUAAGCAUGCAAGUCGAAUGGCAAGAUUGGUGCUUGCACCGAUCCUAGAAUGGGCAGACUGGUGAGUAACACGUGGGUGACAUACCCUCCGGAUGGGGGACAGCUGUUAGAAAUAGCAGGUAAUACCGAAUACGCUUACACAGGUUAGAGUGGUGUAAGGAAAGGUGCUUUGGCACCACCGGAGGAAUGGCUCGCGGCCCAUUAGCUAGUUGGUGAGGUAACGGCCCACCAAGGCAAUGAUGGGUAUCCGGCCUAAGAGGGUGAACGGACACAUUGGGACUGAGAUACGGCCCAGACUCCUACGGGAGGCAGCAGCUAAGAAUAUUCCGCAAUGGACGAAAGUCUGACGGAGCGACGCCGCGUGGAUGAUGAAGGCCGAAAGGUUGUAAAAUCCUUUUGAACCGGACGAAUAAUGAGUGUAGGGAAUGACAUUCAGGUGACGGUACGGUUUGAAUAAGAGACGGCUAAUUACGUGCC
This 497-nucleotide ribosomal RNA is filed under the name uncultured bacterium. RNAcentral's name for it is "bacterial SSU rRNA". It matches the Rfam family "Bacterial small subunit ribosomal RNA", at positions 29 to 509 of the family's 1533-position model. The record is from RNAcentral.